Molecule: ribosomal RNA, 906 nt
Filed under: Cortinarius olivaceofuscus
Lineage: Eukaryota; Fungi; Basidiomycota; Agaricomycetes; Agaricales; Cortinariaceae
Description: eukaryotic LSU rRNA
Rfam family: Eukaryotic large subunit ribosomal RNA
Source: RNAcentral
AGGAUUCCCCUAGUAACUGCGAGUGAAGCGGGAAAAGCUCAAAUUUAAAAUCUGGCAGUCCUUUGGCUGUCCGAGUUGUAAUCUAUAGAAGUGUUAUCCGCGCUGGACCAUGUACAAGUCUCCUGGAAUGGAGCGUCAUAGAGGGUGAGAAUCCCGUCUUUGACAUGGACUACCAGGGCUUUUGUGAUGCGCUCUCAAAGAGUCGAGUUGUUUGGGAAUGCAGCUCAAAAUGGGUGGUAAAUUCCAUCUAAAGCUAAAUAUUGGCGAGAGACCGAUAGCGAACAAGUACCGUGAGGGAAAGAUGAAAAGAACUUUGGAAAGAGAGUUAAACAGUACGUGAAAUUGCUGAAAGGGAAACGCUUGAAGUCAGUCGCGUUGUCCAGGGAUCAACCUUGCUUUUGCUUGGUGCACUUUCUGGUUGACGGGUCAGCAUCAAUUUUGACUGUUGGAAAAAGAUAAGGGGAAUGUGGCAUCCUUGGAUGUGUUAUAGCCCUUUGUUGUAUACAAUGGUCGGGAUUGAGGAACUCAGCACGCCGCAAGGCCGGGUUUUUAUUUAAACCACGUUAACGUGCUUAGGAUGCUGGCAUAAUGGCUUUAAUCGACCCGUCUUGAAACACGGACCAAGGAGUCUAACAUGCCUGCGAGUGUUUGGGUGGAAAACCCGAGCGCGUAAUGAAAGUGAAAGUUGAGAUCCUUGUCGUGAGGAGCAUCGACGCCCGGACCUGACCUUUUGUGACGGCUCCGCGGUAGAGCAUGUAUGUUGGGACCCGAAAGAUGGUGAACUAUGCCUGAAUAGGGUGAAGCCAGAGGAAACUCUGGUGGAGGCUCGUAGCGAUUCUGACGUGCAAAUCGAUCGUCAAAUUUGGGUAUAGGGGCGAAAGACUAAUCGAACCAUCUAGUAGCUGG